UUUUAUAAAAAAAAAAGACAAAAUCCCGCUCACUAUUUUUGGUUACCUGCCCGUUAACCAAAUCCCCCAAAUUAUUUCUUUUUCCCCAAAUAAAAGAGAAGAGGGGGGAGAGGAAGAAGAAGAGAGUGAAGAUGAAGGGACUAAAAAGGUUAAAGGUAGUAGUAGAAAGGGGAGUUCUAGGAAAUCUGGUCGAGAUUCGGCUGAGAAAAAAGAGCCAGUGGCGCCAAGGGAAAGGAAAGUCGUAGAAAGAUAUUCAGCUUCUUCUGUUGCAAGGUCUUCCUUGUUUGUUGAUAUAAAUUUAGCUCAAUUAGUAGAACAUGGCUAGAAAUCCAAGUUGAUGCUGCUUGUGUGGAUCUUAAAUCUCGAUCUCCAUAUUUUUAUGAGUUUGGAUGCAAGAUAGCACCACUGGCACCUCAAGUGUAUUUUUUUGGUGACAAUGUUAUGAACCUUAAACCAGAACUGGUAAUGGGUGCAAAGCUGAAGUAUAGCAGAUGUGGACUAAAGGGUGCUGCACUUGGCUGUUAUGUGAAGUCUUGCCAUAGAAGCCAUCAUUUCCUUUGUGCAAAAGAGAUUCCAAAAUGUCGAUGGGACUAUGAGGACUUCUUGUGCUUUGUCCUGCCCAUUCUUCAGUCAAGUUUCCAAGUGAGAAGUCUAGAAAGGCCCAUUCUGCAGCCAAGUUCCCAAAUGAGAAGCCUGGAAACUGGCUAUCUGCUGAUGAUAAAGUGCCAACUGAAAGUUUCUUCUGGUCAAGUUUGCAAAAAUGAUUAGUGUAACUGUAUCCAAGUUUUGGAGGCCGGAUGUCACUCAUGUGAUUGCCUCUAAAGAUGAGAAUGGUGCAUGCACUAGGACACUUAAAGUUCUCAUGGCCAUUUCAAAUGGGAAGUGGGUUCUUAAAUUAAAUUGUAAAUAAACCAUCACUUAUAUUCAUUGGUGAAAUUGAUGCUUUAGCAACUAGGUUGCUGUUAAGAAAAUGAAAAGAAAGUUCUACUUUUGGGAAGAGUGUGUGAAUAUAAGACAAGUUAAGGCCCUUCGUAAACUAAAUCACCCUAAUACUGUAAAGUUAAAGGAGGUUGUCAGGGAAAGCAAUAAACUAUUCUUCAUUUUCGAGUACAUGUUGAUUUCGAAAGAACUUGGUGUAUUUGCACGAGAACUUUUGUGUGUUCGCUGCAAGACUUUUCUACGUUUUACUUGUAUUGUUUUGUUCUCAGGUUGAUCAACAGAAGUCCUCGUUUUUCUUCCCUAUUUCAUCUGGGUUAUAAUUGGUUGUAACUCUAUUUUCGUGUUAUCUUGUUUAGGUUAGAGCAUUAUGUGACAAGGCAUAAAUAUGCAUCUUAAAGACUAAAUACAUUCGCAUGUGUUAGGUAUAGAAAAAGGUAUUUCCAUUUUGGUGUUAAGAUUUUAUACAGUGUAGCUGCUUACUGUCUUACACUAUGUUGUCCUUUUAGGCAAAAUGGUUGAACAAGCAAUUGAGCAAAUUAUGGCCUUUUGUUGUAGAGGUAAGAUACAUGUUCUUAGAUUCAUAGUAGUUGCUAGUUAUUUAUUUCAAAAAGGCUGAGAGAGGCUUUUGUGUAACUGAGGUUUUCCACCUUAACAGAUGAAAUUUAGGUAGGUUGUUCAACUCUUUUGGUUCUUUCUGAAGUGAAAAUAAUUGAAAUUGUUCUCUAUGUAACUUAUAAUUUAGUAUUUUUUCAUAGUAGAUAAACCAGUAUUAGACUA
Long non-coding RNA from Gossypium arboreum, 1716 nucleotides. RefSeq lists it as uncharacterized. Lineage: Eukaryota; Viridiplantae; Streptophyta; Magnoliopsida; Malvales; Malvaceae. The transcript is spliced from 9 exons. The record is from RefSeq and is a predicted model, not a curated record.